This 1517-nucleotide ribosomal RNA is filed under the name Bacillus pumilus. Its description in RNAcentral is "16S ribosomal RNA". It matches the Rfam family "Bacterial small subunit ribosomal RNA". The record is from RNAcentral. Lineage: Bacteria; Bacillati; Bacillota; Bacilli; Caryophanales; Bacillaceae.
UCGGAGAGUUUGAUCCUGGCUCAGGACGAACGCUGGCGGCGUGCCUAAUACAUGCAAGUCGAGCGGACAGAAGGGAGCUUGCUCCCGGAUGUUAGCGGCGGACGGGUGAGUAACACGUGGGUAACCUGCCUGUAAGACUGGGAUAACUCCGGGAAACCGGAGCUAAUACCGGAUAGUUCCUUGAACCGCAUGGUUCAAGGAUGAAAGACGGUUUCGGCUGUCACUUACAGAUGGACCCGCGGCGCAUUAGCUAGUUGGUGGGGUAAUGGCUCACCAAGGCGACGAUGCGUAGCCGACCUGAGAGGGUGAUCGGCCACACUGGGACUGAGACACGGCCCAGACUCCUACGGGAGGCAGCAGUAGGGAAUCUUCCGCAAUGGACGAAAGUCUGACGGAGCAACGCCGCGUGAGUGAUGAAGGUUUUCGGAUCGUAAAGCUCUGUUGUUAGGGAAGAACAAGUGCGAGAGUAACUGCUCGCACCUUGACGGUACCUAACCAGAAAGCCACGGCUAACUACGUGCCAGCAGCCGCGGUAAUACGUAGGUGGCAAGCGUUGUCCGGAAUUAUUGGGCGUAAAGGGCUCGCAGGCGGUUUCUUAAGUCUGAUGUGAAAGCCCCCGGCUCAACCGGGGAGGGUCAUUGGAAACUGGGAAACUUGAGUGCAGAAGAGGAGAGUGGAAUUCCACGUGUAGCGGUGAAAUGCGUAGAGAUGUGGAGGAACACCAGUGGCGAAGGCGACUCUCUGGUCUGUAACUGACGCUGAGGAGCGAAAGCGUGGGGAGCGAACAGGAUUAGAUACCCUGGUAGUCCACGCCGUAAACGAUGAGUGCUAAGUGUUAGGGGGUUUCCGCCCCUUGGUGCUGCAGCUAACGCAUUAAGCACUCCGCCUGGGGAGUACGGUCGCAAGACUGAAACUCAAAGGAAUUGACGGGGGCCCGCACAAGCGGUGGAGCAUGUGGUUUAAUUCGAAGCAACGCGAAGAACCUUACCAGGUCUUGACAUCCUCUGACAACCCUAGAGAUAGGGCUUUCCCUUCGGGGACAGAGUGACAGGUGGUGCAUGGUUGUCGUCAGCUCGUGUCGUGAGAUGUUGGGUUAAGUCCCGCAACGAGCGCAACCCUUGAUCUUAGUUGCCAGCAUUCAGUUGGGCACUCUAAGGUGACUGCCGGUGACAAACCGGAGGAAGGUGGGGAUGACGUCAAAUCAUCAUGCCCCUUAUGACCUGGGCUACACACGUGCUACAAUGGACAGAACAAAGGGCUGCAAGACCGCAAGGUUUAGCCAAUCCCAUAAAUCUGUUCUCAGUUCGGAUCGCAGUCUGCAACUCGACUGCGUGAAGCUGGAAUCGCUAGUAAUCGCGGAUCAGCAUGCCGCGGUGAAUACGUUCCCGGGCCUUGUACACACCGCCCGUCACACCACGAGAGUUUGCAACACCCGAAGUCGGUGAAGUAACCUUUAUGGAGCCAGCCGCCGAAGGUGGGGCAGAUGAUUGGGGUGAAGUCGUAACAAGGUAGCCGUA